Molecule: transfer RNA, 68 nt
Filed under: Pennahia argentata (silver croaker)
Lineage: Eukaryota; Metazoa; Chordata; Actinopteri; Sciaenidae
Description: tRNA-Phe
Rfam family: tRNA
About the family: Transfer RNA (tRNA) molecules are approximately 80 nucleotides in length.
Source: RNAcentral
GCUAACGUAGCUUAAUUAAAGCGUGACACUGAAGAUGUUAAGAUGGGCCCUAGAAAGCUCUGUAAGCA